ACAUGAAAAGGUGAAGACGCAUUAAUCCAAAAGAAGAUGCAAAAUUUUAUGUGAGCAAUGGAAGGGACAAAGUGGGACUCGAUGUAAAAUACAUUAAUGCCUUCAAAGGUCAUGGCAUCUUCACUACCACUCCAUUUGCAAAAGGUGACUUCCUGUUGGAGUAUCAAAGUGAACUAAUAAGCAAGCAGACAAGCGAGAGGAGACGGAGAAUAUACCAUGACUGCCUUAAGGUGUUCAUGUUCGAGUUCCAAUUUAAUGGGACACUGUGGUGUGUUGAUGCAGCCAGUGAGGAUGGGUCUCUUGGAAGACUUGUUAAUGAUGACCAUAUAAACCCUAAUGCCAAGAUGAAGUACUUGAGCGUGGAAGGGAAGCCCCAUCUGUGUCUAUUUGCUAUAAGAGACAUAAGUCCAGGGGAGGAGAUCACCUAUAAUUACGGAGACUCAGACUGGCCAUGGAGA
This is a long non-coding RNA of Neoarius graeffei (lesser salmon catfish), 458 nucleotides long. RefSeq lists it as uncharacterized. The record is from RefSeq and is a predicted model, not a curated record. Lineage: Eukaryota; Metazoa; Chordata; Actinopteri; Siluriformes; Ariidae. The transcript is spliced from 3 exons.